AAUGGGUUCACGGUUCGUUUUUUUUCAACCAAUCACGUCUCCUGGUCUUCCUGCUCGUUCACGGCCCCGUGCGUGCACGAGCGUACAUUAUAAAGCGCGUCACCGUUGUUAGAGGAAGCCUGGAAGUAGACAACAGAAUGGCGGAGAAAGUACCUAUUCCACGUUUACUGGUAACGUCUUGCCCUGCUAAGCAGGCCAAGAAAAGAAAGACGUUUUUAGAAAAAGCUGCAAAAAAGAGGUCUUUGGAUUUAGCGAGAGGAAAGACAAAAAUCUGCAUCGGAACAUCUUUUGAACUUUGGCGACGAUUGAAGGAGGACAAGGGCCUGAAAACUGAUGCUAUGGUUGCUGAAUUACUUUUGGACAGAUGGAUAUCAAGUGUGCAGAAUGCCUCCAGCACUGAUGAUGCAGAAGGGACUGAACAGCAUGUUAUCAACAGUGGAACAGAUGCAGCACUGUUUAAAGCCAGAGCCAAGCUGGCUAUGUCUUUGAAAUCGUCCAAAGUGGAGAAAAAGCUUUGCCAUGCAUCGUGCCAGACGGACCCAGUGCAAAUUUUACCAAAUAAUGCCAGAGUUAUCUUGCUGGGCACGGACUUUCCUCCUCUUUUUGUAAAAGCAGCAGAUCUACAGGGCACAACUCAUAACCGCAACUAUCAGAGCUCGGAUCAAAGCACCCAACCUAACCCCACCUUGAUUCAGGAUACAUGUAUUACCACCGCAUUUAGUCAAGGGAUCAAAUCCAAACCACCAACAUUUGGUCAAGAGAUUAAAUCUGAACCACAAACAUUUGGUCUAGAAAUUAAACCUGAACCACCAACAUUUGGUCAAGAGACUAAACCUGAACCACCAACAUUUGGUCAAGAGAUUAAAUCUGAACCACCAACAUUUGGUAUCGAGAUUAAAUCUGAACCACCAACAUUUGGUCUAGAGAUUAAAUCUGAACCACCAACAUUUGGUCUAGAGAUUAAAUCGGAAACACUAACCUACAAUAGCUUCUCUGAUCCUUCAGUCUUCCACAGCAUCUCCACUUGUAGAAACAGCAUCUGAGUACAAUAAUCAAUUUGGUUGAAGGAUGGGCUCUUCUUCUGUGGUGACCACAACAUAUCUGCCUUUGUUUGUGAAUGUCAUCUACAUCAGCCUGUAUUGGCUGAAAAGAGUCACUUUAGAAGUUUUAUGUUAAGAUGUGAUACACACCAGCUGUGCUGACAUUCAACCUCACAAAAAUGUAUGCCACUGUAUUUUUAUAUUGUUUCAUGAUGUUAUCAGGUGAUAUGACAGCACCGUGUGUCAGUCAAACAGCAAACAAAACAUGCAAAUGUUUAAAAAGUCAGUCCUUGCUGUUUAUGUCUAAAGCUAGCACAAACCUCUACCCCAGAGGCCCACAAGCACGUCCGCCUC
Molecule: long non-coding RNA, 1394 nt
Filed under: Gouania willdenowi (blunt-snouted clingfish)
Lineage: Eukaryota; Metazoa; Chordata; Actinopteri; Blenniiformes; Gobiesocidae
Description: lncRNA (ENSGWIG00000015022.1)
Source: RNAcentral